RNAcentral lists this transfer RNA (73 nucleotides) under Trichonephila inaurata madagascariensis. It matches the Rfam family "tRNA". From Rfam's summary of the family: Transfer RNA (tRNA) molecules are approximately 80 nucleotides in length. Lineage: Eukaryota; Metazoa; Arthropoda; Arachnida; Araneae; Nephilidae. The record is from Rfam by way of RNAcentral.
GUCUUUGCAGCGCAUUGGAUAGCGUGUUGGACUUCUAAUCCAAUGCUCGUGGGUUAGAAUCCCACCUGAGAUG